UGAUAGCAAGGACUCCUUAUCUUUACCCUUAACGAGGCUACAACUCGCCGCCUAGUUCUCGRCCACACUACC
RNAcentral lists this transfer RNA (72 nucleotides) under Hemiphyllodactylus insularis (Philippine slender gecko). RNAcentral's name for it is "tRNA-Tyr". Lineage: Eukaryota; Metazoa; Chordata; Lepidosauria; Squamata; Gekkonidae. The record is from RNAcentral.